Molecule: non-coding RNA, 1052 nt
Filed under: Drosophila sechellia
Lineage: Eukaryota; Metazoa; Arthropoda; Insecta; Diptera; Drosophilidae
Description: Eukaryotic large subunit ribosomal RNA
Rfam family: Eukaryotic large subunit ribosomal RNA
Source: Rfam by way of RNAcentral
AAUGGACGUGUAUCAUUUCCUAGCCAUUAUACGGAUAUAUUUAUUAUAUCUUAUGGUAUUGGGUUUUGAUGCAAGCUUCUUGAUCAAAGUAUCACGAGUUUGUUAUAUAAUCGCAAACAAAUUCUUUAAUAAAACGAUGCAUUUAUGUAUUUUUGAUUUGAAAAUUUGGUAUAACUCCAAUUACUCAGGUAUGAUCCAAUUCAAGGACAUUGCCAGGUAGGGAGUUUGACUGGGGCGGUACAUCUCUCAAAUAAUAACGGAGGUGUCCCAAGGCCAGCUCAGUGCGGACAGAAACCACACAUAGAGCAAAAGGGCAAAUGCUGACUUGAUCUCGGUGUUCAGUACACACAGGGACAGCAAAAGCUCGGCCUAUCGAUCCUUUUGGUUUAAAGAGUUUUUAACAAGAGGUGUCAGAAAAGUUACCAUAGGGAUAACUGGCUUGUGGCGGCCAAGCGUUCAUAGCGACGUCGCUUUUUGAUCCUUCGAUGUCGGCUCUUCCUAUCAUUGUGAAGCAAAAUUCACCAAGCGUUGGAUUGUUCACCCAUGCAAGGGAACGUGAGCUGGGUUUAGACCGUCGUGAGACAGGUUAGUUUUACCCUACUAAUGACAAAACGUUGUUGCGACAGCAUUCCUGCGUAGUACGAGAGGAAACCGCAGGUACGGACCAAUGGCACAAUACUUGUUCGAGCGAACAGUGGUAUGACGCUACGUCCGUUGGAUUAUGCCUGAACGCCUCUAAGGUCGUAUCCGUGCUGGACUGCAAUGAUAAAUAAGGGGCAAUUUGCAUUGUAUGGCUUCUAAACCAUUUAAAGUUUAUAAUUUAUUUUAUAAACGACAAUGGAUGUGAUGCCAAUGUAAUUUGUAACAUAGUAAAUUAGGAGGAUCUUCGAUCACCUGAUGCCGCGCUAGUUACAUAUAAAAGCAUUAUUUAAUACAAUGACAAAGCCUAGAAUCAAUUGUAAACGACUUUUGUAACAGGCAAGGUGUUGUAAGUGGUUGAGCAGCUGCCAUACUGCGAUCCACUGAAGCUUAUCCUUUGCUUGAUGAUUCGA